AAUCCAUAGGUUAAUGAGGCGAACCGGGGGAACUGAAACAUCUAAGUACCCCGAGGAAAAGAAAUCAACCGAGAUUCCCCCAGUAGCGGCGAGCGAACGGGGAGGAGCCCAGAGCCUGAAUCAGCAUGUGUGUUAGUGGAAGCGUCUGGAAAGGCGCGCGAUACAGGGUGACAGCCCCGUACACAAAAGCGCAUGUGCUGUGAGCUCGAUGAGUAGGGCGGGACACGUGGUAUCCUGUCUGAAUAUGGGGGGACCAUCCUCCAAGGCUAAAUACUCCUGACUGACCGAUAGUGAACCAGUACCGUGAGGGAAAGGCGAAAAGAACCCCGGCGAGGGGAGUGAAAAAGAACCUGAAACCGUGUACGUACAAGCAGUGGGAGCACCCUUCGGGGUGUGACUGCGUACCUUUUGUAUAAUGGGUCAGCGACUUAUAUUCUGUAGCAAGGUUAACCGAAUAGGGGAGCCGGAGGGAAACCGAGUCUUAAUUGGGCGUUAAGUUGCAGGGUAUAGACCCGAAACCCGGUGAUCUAGCCAUGGGCAGGUUGAAGGUUGGGUAACACUAACUGGAGGACCGAACCGACUAAUGUUGAAAAAUUAGCGGAUGACCUGUGGCUGGGGGUGAAAGGCCAAUCAAACCGGGAGAUAGCUGGUUCUCCCCGAAAGCUAUUUAGGUAGCGCCUCGUGAAUUCAUCUCCGGGGGUAGAGCACUGUUUCGGCUAGGGGGCCAUCCCGGCUUACCAACCCGAUGCAAACUGCGAAUACCGGAGAAUGUUAUCACGGGAGACACACGGCGGGUGCUAACGUCCGUCGUGAAGAGGGAAACAACCCAGACCGCCAGCUAAGGUCCCAAAGUCAUGGUUAAGUGGGAAACGAUGUGGGAAGGCCCAGACAGCCAGGAUGUUGGCUUAGAAGCAGCCAUCAUUUAAAGAAAGCGUAAUAGCUCACUGGUCGAGUCGGCCUGCGCGGAAGAUGUAACGGGGCUAAACCAUGCACCGAAGCUGCGGCAGCGAACGUAUCACCCAAGACAACUUUACGGAGUUGACGAUUGACGGAGCGAAGCGACGUCAAAGCGUUCAUUAAAGUCGAGUUGGCUUAGGGAUACGUUCGUUGGGUAGGGGAGCGUUCUGUAAGCCUGUGAAGGUGUGUCGUGAGGCAUGCUGGAGGUAUCAGAAGUGCGAAUGCUGACAUAAGUAACGAUAAAGCGGGUGAAAAGCCCGCUCGCCGGAAGACCAAGGGUUCCUGUCCAACGUUAAUCGGGGCAGGGUGAGUCGACCCCUAAGGCGAGGCCGAAAGGCGUAGUCGAUGGGAAACGGGUUAAUAUUCCCGUACUUGGUGUUACUGCGAAGGGGGGACGGAGAAGGCUAUGUUGGCCGGGCGACGGUUGUCCCGGUUUAAGCGUGUAGGUGUGUGUUCCAGGUAAAUCCGGUUCACUUUAACACUGAGGCGUGACGACGAGGCACUACGGUGCUGAAGCAACAAAUGCCCUGCU
RNAcentral lists this ribosomal RNA (1489 nucleotides) under Salmonella enterica subsp. enterica serovar Typhimurium. Its description in RNAcentral is "partial 23S ribosomal RNA". It matches the Rfam family "Bacterial large subunit ribosomal RNA", at positions 161 to 1606 of the family's 2925-position model. The record is from RNAcentral. Lineage: Bacteria; Pseudomonadati; Pseudomonadota; Gammaproteobacteria; Enterobacterales; Enterobacteriaceae.